UUGUAAGCAGAAUUACACAUGCGAGUAUCCCCAAGCCAGUGAGGAUGCCCUUCAAAUCGAUUCCGACGAAAAGGAGCGGGUAUCAAGUUCACAUAAAAGUGGCUCAUAACACCUCGUAAAACCACGCCCCCACGGGUAACAGCAGUGAUAAAAAUUAAGCUAUGAACGAAAGUUCGACUUAGUCAUGCAAUACAAUUAGGGUUGGUAAAUCUCGUGCCAGCCACCGCGGUCAUACGAUUAACCCAAAUUAAUAAACGAUCGGCGUAAAGAAUGUUUAAGGUUGUAAACAAAACUAAGAUUAAAUCUUGUCUAUGUCGUAAAAAAUUAUAGAUAAGCCAAAACCCAAUAAACGCAAGUAAUCUUAUAAUAUCUGAACACAUGACAGCUUGGGUACAAAGCUAAGCCGUAAACGCAAAACAUUAAAUAUAACAAAAAGUUUCGCCAGAGAACUACUAGCCACGGCUAAAAACUCAAAGGACUUGGCGGUGCUUUACACCCACCUAGAGGAGCCUGUUCUGUAAUCGAUAAACCCCGAUAAACCUCACCACUUUUUGCUAAUACAGCCUAUAUACCGCCAUCUUCAGCAAACCUUAACAAAGUAAAAAAGUGAGCAUAAUCACAAACAUAAAAACGUUAGGUCAAGGUGUAGCCAAUAAAGUGGGAAGUAAUGGGCUACAUUUUCUUGACAAAGAACAUUUAAACGAAAGCUAUUAUGAAAUUUAAUAGCACAAGGAGGAUUUAGUAGUAAAUUAAGAAUAGAGAGCUUAAUU
RNAcentral lists this ribosomal RNA (770 nucleotides) under Fukomys bocagei (Angolan mole-rat). RNAcentral describes it as "partial 12S ribosomal RNA". Lineage: Eukaryota; Metazoa; Chordata; Mammalia; Rodentia; Bathyergidae. The record is from RNAcentral.